AGUGAACGCUGGCGGUAGGCCUAACACAUGCAAGUCGAACGGCAGCACAGUAAGAGCUUGCUCUUACGGGUGGCGAGUGGCGGACGGGUGAGGAAUACAUCGGAAUCUACUCUUUCGUGGGGGAUAACGUAGGGAAACUUACGCUAAUACCGCAUACGACCUACGGGUGAAAGCAGGGGAUCUUCGGACCUUGCGCGAUUGAAUGAGCCGAUGUCGGAUUAGCUAGUUGGCGGGGUAAAGGCCCACCAAGGCGACGAUCCGUAGCUGGUCUGAGAGGAUGAUCAGCCACACUGGAACUGAGACAGGGUCCAGACUCCUACGGGAGGCAGCAGUGGGGAAUAUUGGACAAUGGGCGCAAGCCUGAUCCAGCCAUACCGCGUGGGUGAAGAAGGCCUUCGGGUUGUAAAGCCCUUUUGUUGGGAAAGAAAAGCAGCAGGUUAAUACCCCGCUGUUCUGACGGUACCCGAAGAAUAAGCACCGGCUAACUUCGUG
This 492-nucleotide ribosomal RNA is filed under the name uncultured bacterium. RNAcentral describes it as "partial 16S ribosomal RNA". It matches the Rfam family "Bacterial small subunit ribosomal RNA", at positions 29 to 507 of the family's 1533-position model. The record is from RNAcentral.